CAGCCGCCGCGGUAAUACGAAGGGGGCUAGCGUUGUUCGGAUUUACUGGGCGUAAAGCGCACGUAGGCGGAUCGAUCAGUCAGGGGUGAAAUCCCAGAGCUCAACUCUGGAACUGCCUUUGAUACUGUCGAUCUGGAGUAUGGAAGAGGUGAGUGGAAUUCCGAGUGUAGAGGUGAAAUUCGUAGAUAUUCGGAGGAACACCAGUGGCGAAGGCGGCUCACUGGUCCAUUACUGACGCUGAGGUGCGAAAGCGUGGGGAGCAAACAGGAUUAGAUACCCGCGUAGUCCCUGUCUCUUAUAU
This 301-nucleotide ribosomal RNA is filed under the name uncultured bacterium. RNAcentral's name for it is "partial 16S ribosomal RNA". It matches the Rfam family "Bacterial small subunit ribosomal RNA", at positions 509 to 809 of the family's 1533-position model. The record is from RNAcentral.